GACGAACGCUGGCGGCGUGCCUAAUACAUGCAAGUAGAACGCACAGUUUAUACCGUAGCUUGCUACACCAUAAACUGUGAGUUGCGAACGGGUGAGUAACGCGUAGGUAACCUGCCUGGUAGCGGGGGAUAACUAUUGGAAACGAUAGCUAAUACCGCAUAAUAUUGAUUAUUGCAUGAUAAUUGAUUGAAAGAUGCUAUUGCAUCACUACCAGAUGGACCUGCGUUGUAUUAGCUAGUAGGUGAGGUAACGGCUCACCUAGGCGACGAUACAUAGCCGACCUGAGAGGGUGGUCGGCCACACUGGGACUGAGACACGGCCCAGACUCCUACGGGAGGCAGCAGUAGGGAAUCUUCGGCAAUGGACGAAAGUCUGACCGAGCAACGCCGCGUGAGUGAAGAAGGUUUUCGGAUCGUAAAGCUCUGUUGUAAGAGAAGAACGGGUGUGAGAGUGGAAAGUUCACACUGUGACGGUAACUUACCAGAAAGGGACGGCUAACUACGUG
This 505-nucleotide ribosomal RNA is filed under the name uncultured bacterium. RNAcentral describes it as "partial 16S ribosomal RNA". It matches the Rfam family "Bacterial small subunit ribosomal RNA", at positions 28 to 507 of the family's 1533-position model. The record is from RNAcentral.